RNAcentral lists this non-coding RNA (45 nucleotides) under Schistosoma mansoni. Lineage: Eukaryota; Metazoa; Platyhelminthes; Trematoda; Strigeidida; Schistosomatidae. The record is from RNAcentral.
AUCUAUCUGAUGAUUCCAAAAUAGGACGAAACACGCGUCUUGGAU